CUUCAAAUCAUGGCAUUUUCUAAGUACUUAGAAACCCAGAGUCCAGCAAACCCAAUCCUUUAUUUUAUAAAUAAGAAAAUGGAAGAAAGCUCAAGACAGGAAGUUACACAGUUAAUGCUAAAGGUCUGACAAUAAUCCAGAAAAGGGAAACUCUAACUCCUCGUCCCACUUAAAUGAACCUGUGCCCUGACCCCUCAAAGCCGUGGGUUUUCAUUUCAACACCUAUUGCACCAACAAUAAAUGAAUCAUCCAGUAAAAACUCCCCUAAUUUUCCCAAUCUCUAACCCAACAUGGUGGAGCCAAAAGAAUACAGCCUUGGUGCCAGAAAGACCUGGAUCCAAUCUCAGCUCUGUCCUUUACUAUCCACGUGACUGUGGGGAAGUUACUAAACCCAUUUCAGGCUAAAUGUCUUCACCUGUUAAACAGCAACAAUCGACUAGAAAUCCACCCAGGAGGGUUCGUGUGAUGGUGAGGAUACAAUGGCCAGAAGGUAGAUGGUCAAUGAUGGCGGUUAUUUUCACACGCCCCUCUCCGCCUCCUUAAGGUAUCCUUAUCUUCACCCACACCCUCCUCCUUCCCACCAGCAUCCCUCAGCAGACAGGGUUUUCAUCUUCUUUUCAAAGUGCAUCCCUCUUCCUCAGAUUAUGAAUCUGUGUUCUUCCCUGGGCUCCAAGCCAUCAGCGGACAGUUCUCUCCAGCACCUUAUACUCCUUCUCUGUGGACUGCUUCCCUUCUGGCUUCUCAGCUGCUCAAGAGUCCCCUGGCUUGAAAACGCCCUGGACGGAGAGGUUGCAGCAGAGUGGUUCCACCUGGGGAGCAGGGCGACAGUGAUGUUGACGUCCUUGUCCAGGGACACUGUGAGAGCCACUGCUCCAGAGCCUUGCAACUCAAGGUAUGGGCUGUGAACCAGCUGCUUCAUUCUCAUCGGGGAGUUGCCACAGAUGCAGAACAGAGUCCCCAUCCCAGACCUACUGACCUAGAGUCUGCACCGAACAAGACCAAUGCAAUGCCUGCGCACAUUCAAGUUUGAGAAGCACUGCUCUAGUCAACGGUUCUCAAUCCUGAAUAAACGUUAAAGUCACUGGGAAGUUUUUUUAAAAUACUAAUUCCUGGACCCCACCCCUGAGACUCUGAUUUAGUUGGACCGGAGUGGGGCCUCAAAGAUCAGUAUUUCUAAAUACAGCGGAAUCUUGUUAAAGCACAGACUUGGGUUGAGUAGGUCCGAGCUGGGGCUAAGGGUCUGCAUUUCUAAGAUCUCUCAGGUGAUGCUGCUGUCAUGGUCUGGGGAUCACACAUUAUGUGGCCAUCCAUUCUAGAAAGGGCCCUUAAUGCCCUCCUAGUCCCCAGAUUCAACCAUCUUUUUUCAAUCCUCAUCCAUCUUCAUCUCCCUACAGCUGUUAUCCAUUCUUCCUGCUUUGCAACACUGGUUCUCAGCCUUGACUGCAAAUCGCUAUCACCUGGCGAGCUUUACAGACUGCUGAUUCUCGGGCCCCAUGCCCAGGGAUGCGGAGGAAAUCAGUACGGGUGCAGCCCGGGAAGCCGAACGCCUGCAUCUCCACAGAUGACUCUAAUGAGAGCAAAGUUUAAGAAGCACUGAUUUAAAACCACUGCUUGCCACAUUCCUGAGAUACCUCACUCUUCUAUAUUUUCUCCUACUUCUUGAUCACUUCUUGGCAUCCGUCGCUUACUACUUUUUCUAUCACUCUGCUGGUUUUAUCCAUCACUACUACAAACAUGACUCUUGUAUCUGUAUCUGAAAGCUUGACAUCUAACUAAGCUCCCCACCCGGCCUCUGUUGACUUCCAGGUUUGGAUUAACGUGUCUGCUGCAUGGCUUUUCAAGCCCAUUUCCACUCACAGCUGCUUCCUGGCUUCCUGGGCUUUCACAGCUACUACAAUAGCCUCCAAAAUGUCUCUGCUUCUCACCUCUUUCCCCGACUCAGUUUACACACCUUGACAGUGGAGCCAAUUCCUUACUCCCACUCCACGGCGUCUAUUAACAUGUCACUGAAGUAGCACUCUCAGGGGCCAACCACAGGAGUACUACAAUGAACUAUUUCAUAAAAUAAUAUCCACACAUGCACAUGCCCAGCCUGCUUUAGCUGGUACAUUUCUUUUCUUUAUAGUACUUCUCAUCUUCUAACUUUAUACAAUUUAUUAUGUUUACUGUUAAGUAUCUGUCACCCACCGUUAGAGUAGAUGCUACAUGAGCACAGAGAUUUCUGUCUAUUUUAUUCUCUGAUUUGUCUCAAGAGCCCAGAAGAGCACCUGGAACUCAAUCAUUAUUGGUUGAAUGAAUUAAUAAAUUUCAACCAUAGUCAGCCAUGUAGAUAUCAGCUAAUUAUUCAUAAAUUAGGCCUUGGUUUGGUUUGUCCUGUCGCGUAUGUUUAGAAGAUGUGCGGAUCCCUUGCCCGGUCACUGUUCAGCCCUGAUGCAAACUGCUGAGAGUUACAAGCGACAAGGCUAAUGCACUGGCUGAGGAGGAAUCCACAGGCAAAAGCGACUUCUUCAGGGCCUCCCAGUACCAGGGACGCGGCAAGCCAUCUUUCUUCUCUGAGAUUAACCUGGCCCAGAGCCACAGUAAACACCCAAUCUUCCUUACAGGGAGGAAAGAUUAAAUAUCUGAUUAAAAUUUUUGGCUGCUAAUUUAUUGAACUUGGAUGGAUGAACCGUUUGGAAGUCACGUGACUUUCCCUGUGUGUCUGCUGUUAUUCCACAGAAAGAGGUCAGCGGCUCCGUGUGGGCGUGAGGGGGCUGGGAGGCCAAGGGGUGCUCUCUCAGGCCAUCUUUGGAAACGGGGGCCAGUUCUUUCCCAGUUAGCUCGGGAAUGCCCACCGCGACUGCGGCAGUUUCUGUUUCCGCCUCUGACUCUGUUCUUGUUGCUUUGUAGACGGUUCAUUUCAGCCCUCCCCCGUCUAUUGUUCUGAGCCACCCAGCAAAAUGAUGUCAUGGGCAGCUUAAAAGUAUACAGGAAGUCUUCAAAACUGAAUGACUUCAAUAUACUUUGUUCCGUGGACUCUUGCUGCCGGCUCUCCAUGGAAACCACACCCCGCAGACCUCAGGGAGGCGGCCAUAGGAUCAAAUCAUAGGCUCAGAGCGUCUCUCCUCUCCUCACCUCCGCCAUCCCAUUCUCUCCCCCGCCCCCGGGCCAGCGCGCCCACCGCUCACCUCCAGCCCAGGGCCUUGGACAGAGGCCAGCGCCAGAGGAGGGAAGGGAAGCUCAGAGAAAGGAAAGCCAGAGGAAUAGGAGGGCAGAGGGAGUUUCCUCAGAAAUACAGAGGCGCAGGACUCUCAGGACAACCAAAGGUCACCCUUAUUGGCCCUUCCCGACAGAGUCAGUCAGUUUGGCAGAGCUGCCAGUCAUGGCAAUGUCUCCAGAGAAGACGCACUGAUAGAAACCAUAUGGGACUUGUCUCAACUUGCAAAGUGCAGCAAGAGAGCUUCAUUGAGACUGCUGCCCAGUGACACACUCUGAGUAAAGUUAAGCAGGAGACAGUUUAUAACAGGAUCAUAAUAACAAAUACAUGUACAGGGCUUUACAGUUUACACAGCAGGCGUUUACAGUUUAUAUAUAUGCAUAUAUUACCAUGAGUCCAUCUCAAAAAGCCCCAUUUUACCAAGGGGGAUCAAAAACCUAAAGCAGAGAACUUUUUGAUUUACCCGGGGUCACCCAGCUGUCAAGGGUGGAAUUGGG
RNAcentral lists this long non-coding RNA (3693 nucleotides) under Equus caballus (horse). Its description in RNAcentral is "lncRNA (ENSECAG00000056394.1)". The record is from RNAcentral. Lineage: Eukaryota; Metazoa; Chordata; Mammalia; Perissodactyla; Equidae.